Molecule: ribosomal RNA, 238 nt
Filed under: Rhizophagus sp. (in: glomeromycetes)
Lineage: Eukaryota; Fungi; Glomeromycota; Glomeromycetes; Glomerales; Glomeraceae
Description: Rhizophagus sp. (in: Fungi) partial small subunit ribosomal RNA
Rfam family: Eukaryotic small subunit ribosomal RNA (bases 40-238)
Source: RNAcentral
GGGUCAGUAGGUUGGUCAUGCCACUGGUAUGUACUGGUCUCACUGAUUCCUCCUUCCUGAUGAGCCGUAAUGCCAUUAAUUUGGUGUUGCGAGGAAUCUGGACUGUUACUUUGAAAAAAUUAGAGUGUUUAAAGCAGGCUAACGCUUGAAUACAUUAGCAUGGAAUAAUGAAAUAGGACGUUCGAUCUUAUUUUGUUGGUUUCUAAGAUUGACGUAAUGAUUAAUAGGGAUAGUUGGG